AAAAAGGCAAACCCUGGGUUUGCGUGUCCAACUUUGACUGUCCGUCUUAUAUGAAAUUUUUUUAUAAUUCGUAUUUUCAUUGUUGUUAGAUGAUAAAACAUGAUUAAUAUUUUAUGCGUGAUUUGUCUUUUUAAUUUUUUUAUUUUUUUUAAAUAAAACGGACGGUUAAACGUUAGGCACGGAAAC
RNAcentral lists this microRNA precursor (186 nucleotides) under Oryza sativa Indica Group (long-grained rice). RNAcentral's name for it is "MIR812 microRNA precursor family". It matches the Rfam family "MIR812 microRNA precursor family". Lineage: Eukaryota; Viridiplantae; Streptophyta; Magnoliopsida; Poales; Poaceae. The record is from Rfam by way of RNAcentral.